Molecule: ribosomal RNA, 400 nt
Filed under: uncultured bacterium
Lineage: Bacteria
Description: bacterial SSU rRNA
Rfam family: Bacterial small subunit ribosomal RNA
Source: RNAcentral
UGGGGAAUCUUGGACAAUGGGGGCAACCCUGAUCCAGCGAUGCCGCGUGGGUGAAGAAGGCCUUCGGGUUGUAAAGCCCUUUAGGUUGGGAAGAAGUGUAUAGGUUGAUAAUGCUUAUACAUUGACGGUACCGACAGAAUAAGCACCGGCAAACUCUGUGCCAGCAGCCGCGGUAAUACAGAGGGUGCAAGCGUUAAUCGGAGUAACUGGGCGUAAAGGGCGCGUAGGCGGUGAGAUGAGUGUGAUGUGAAAGCCCCGGGCUUAACCUGGGAAGUGCAUCGCAAACGAUCUGACUGGAGUUUGGGAGAGGGUGGCGGAAUUUCCGGUGUAGCGGUGAAAUGCGUAGAGAUCGGAAGGAACGUCGAUGGCGAAGGCAGCCACCUGGCCCAAAACUGACGCU